AUCAACUAUCUCCUUAUACAUAGGCCAGAAACGCUGCCAGGAGCAAAUGCUGUAUGGAGCCUAGAUCUCCUGACUCAGCUCUUACGGCACCCAGGUUGGGGAAGCUCCUGGAAAUGGCAUGUCUUUGCUUGUGGGUUCUUACCCAGGCCUCUUGGGUAUGAACCUGGCUGUGGCCUUCCUCUUUGCUUGGCUGUUUACCUCUCCUAUGAGCUGAGAUCAAGACGGAAGAGCAUCCAGAGGACUAAGGUGAGGAAACUGAGACAUGGGGAGUUCAAGCACACGUCUGGAGCCGCAUGGGUGGAGGAGCUAAAAUUCAAACCUAGGUCUGUCUGACUUCAGAGCAUGUGUGUUGAACCUUCCAGG
Canis lupus familiaris (dog) is the source of this 363-nucleotide long non-coding RNA. RefSeq lists it as uncharacterized. The record is from RefSeq and is a predicted model, not a curated record. The transcript has 3 exons. NCBI's taxonomy places the organism in Eukaryota, Metazoa, Chordata, Mammalia, Carnivora, Canidae.